This is a long non-coding RNA of Sapajus apella (tufted capuchin), 174 nucleotides long. RefSeq lists it as uncharacterized. NCBI's taxonomy places the organism in Eukaryota, Metazoa, Chordata, Mammalia, Primates, Cebidae. The record is from RefSeq and is a predicted model, not a curated record. The transcript has 3 exons.
ACUUACCCACCCCUAAUUCCAUUAAUUUCACUGAACUCCUAAAACACAUUGGACCAAUCUAUUUUUUAAUAGAAGUAAUAAUGUUAGUAUAAGUAACAUGAAAUUAUUCUCCCUGCAUAAGCUUAUUCCAGACCGAAACAACUACUGCUAGUUAACAGCUAGACCACGGAACCA